This 301-nucleotide ribosomal RNA is filed under the name uncultured bacterium. RNAcentral's name for it is "partial 16S ribosomal RNA". It matches the Rfam family "Bacterial small subunit ribosomal RNA", at positions 509 to 807 of the family's 1533-position model. The record is from RNAcentral.
CAGUCGCCGCGGUAAUACAGAGGGUGCAAGCGUUAAUCGGAAUUACUGGGCGUAAAGCGCGCGUAGGUGGUUUGUUAAGUUGGAUGUGAAAGCCCCGGGCUCAACCUGGGAACUGCAUCCAAAACUGGCAAGCUAGAGUACGGUAGAGGGUGGUGGAAUUUCCUGUGUAGCGGUGAAAUGCGUAGAUAUAGGAAGGAACACCAGUGGCGAAGGCGACCACCUGGACUGAUACUGACACUGAGGUGCGAAAGCGUGGGGAGCAAACAGGAUUAGAGACCCCAGUAGUCCCUGUCUCUUAUAC